CACUAAAGGAGUUCAAAAAGGAGGCUUACUGCUUAAUGUUUUACCUCUUGGAUGUGUUCAAGAUGGCUUUCAUUUUUGACAUGGUGAGUUGAAAGAUACACUCAUAACAUGCAUGAUACACAAGCGUCGGUACAAAAGGCUUACAAAAUUCUUUUGCAUGUUUAAGUCAUUAGAGGCUUGGUGGGAGGAUGUUGAUGACCAUAUUGAGAAGAUUGUCCCCUAAUCACGAAGAUGGGGUAUUAUUAUUUUGGGGCGCAAGUUCUCCAAAGAAAAUGGAAUAGGUCUUCAUAUUGGCGAAAAGGUCAACAUCACAUAUGAGUGGGUCAAUUUCUCUCAUGAGAAUUUAAAAAAUGAGUUCCAGUGGCAGGACGUUGAUGAAAAAUUUCUCGAGUUUCAAAAACAUGAUGAUGGAGGUUAACGGGUUAGAUGUUAUGAACAACAUAGAAAUCCUCCACACAAACCCGUACUUAAUUAAUCUACACCCCGAAGAAUACAGGCUUUGUAUGUAUUAUGCGAUGAAGAAACUCCAUGAGAGGUACUUUUGGGUUAUGGAAUCCACCACUGACUCAAGCUACUCCCACUACAAGAAAAAUAUUUAUUUGCUGCUAUUUAUUUGUUGCAUAUAUUUUAAUUCGCAGCAAAAGAAUUGACGAAUUUUUUAGUUAACACCUUUUAAUUAUAAACUAUUAAUUUGCACGGCUUAACUUUUAAAACCGCAGCAAAUCAAUUAUCUCCCCUUUACAUCUAAACCCUCAUCCCUUACCUCUAACAAAUUCAUUUCUCGUUCUCCAUCACUACUUCUCUCAACCUCACCGCCCUUUUUCCUCUCUAUCGCUUUGCUUAGCCUCACCCACCAUCAUCCCCACCGCCAACGCUUUGCUACUUCCAAGAUCUCAUCCACCAUCAUCCUUGCUGUCGACGCUUCACCUCCUCUCCAUCACCAUCGUCACUUUUCUCCACUGCGCUCUUCACCCUCAUUUCUCAUCCCUUUCCCCCACCGCUCUUUUAGAUUCUUUCUUUGUAAAUCCCUUCUCCAUGGUUCUGCUUCAACUCAAUGCCAUUAUUGUUGCUGCUCGAUUGACGUCACUAUUGUUGCCGCAUUCUAUUACUCCUUUGGUUAUCAGAUCUAAGACUUUGUAAUAAUGGUGGUUGCUUACCCUCUUGCAACUGUGCUUUUUUUUUUUUAGGAAAGCUACUGAAAUGACUUAUGCUGUCCAUUUGUAUUUUUUAUUUUUUGAUGAAUAUGUAAUUUUACUAGCUUUUGAAUUAUUAAUGGAACCAUUUAAGUUUAUAUAUAAA
Molecule: long non-coding RNA, 1299 nt
Organism: Chenopodium quinoa (quinoa)
Lineage: Eukaryota; Viridiplantae; Streptophyta; Magnoliopsida; Caryophyllales; Amaranthaceae
Exons: 2
Source: RefSeq, a predicted model, not a curated record